GAAACCCAAAAGAUCGAAUGGGGAGAUUCAUCGUCAGCUCAUUUUGUAUAUGUAUAAGUUACGAUGCGGGUUACUACUUGUAGUAUUGCCUGCACGUUCUUGUAUAUUUAGUUGCAAGAUGUUGUCGGCGUGCACUUCUUCCCUAGUAGGACGUCGCGACCCGUUGGGUGUCGGUCUACGGCCCAAGUGAUAGCCUUUAAUGUAAUUUAAAAAUCAUUGAAGAUCCUUGGUGUUUUCUGACCGGCUACUCGGCGGUACUCGUAUGGUAUUUAGCCGCUAAUUUAUUAGCGUCCAUGUCCGUCACAAGCGAGGCUAAUUUACUGAUAGUGCGGACCUAGUGCCGUCGUUGGUAUUGGCCAGCUGUUGGUUGUACGUGAUUCUGGGACUGGCUAAAAUUAAUUACCGGUCGGCGAUGCUACUGCUUUGGGUACUUUCAGGACCCGUCUUGAAACACGGACCAAA
This 462-nucleotide ribosomal RNA is filed under the name Aleiodes miroculatus. RNAcentral's name for it is "eukaryotic LSU rRNA". Lineage: Eukaryota; Metazoa; Arthropoda; Insecta; Hymenoptera; Braconidae. The record is from RNAcentral.